This 227-nucleotide long non-coding RNA is filed under the name Capsicum annuum. RNAcentral describes it as "long non-coding RNA (CANN_LNC006005)". The record is from RNAcentral. Lineage: Eukaryota; Viridiplantae; Streptophyta; Magnoliopsida; Solanales; Solanaceae.
GAAGCUUUGUGAGCUUAGCAAGAGGACAAACAGUACAUUCAUGAUCUUCAUACUUCAAAUGACUUAGUGCAGCAUGUCUCCUAAGCACUUCAAUAGGAGCAUGCCCCAUUCUUUUAUGCCAGAGAACACUGGAGUCAGACAGCAGCUACACAUUAUUAGCACAUCUAUUUACACUUCUUGUCGGGAUAGAACCAUUUCUGAGAAUGUAUAACCCUUGAUCUUCUCUA